CCCUUAGAGUUUGAUCCUGGCUCAGAAUCAACGCUGGCGGCGUGCCUCAGACAUGCAAGUCGAACGCGAAAGGUUCCUUCGGGGACCGAGUAGAGUGGCGUCCGGGUGAGUAACACGUGGGUAAUCUACCUUCGGGUGGGGAAUAACGACCGGAAACGGUCGCUAAUACCGCAUAAUGCAGCGGCACCUAAUGGUGACAGUUGUUAAAGCGGGGGAUCGCAAGACCUCGCGCCUGAAGAGGAGCCCGCGGCGGAUUAGCUAGUUGGCAGGGUAACGGCCUACCAAGGCGACGAUCCGUAGCCGGCCUGAGAGGGCGGUCGGCCACACUGGCACUGACACACGGGCCAGACUCCUACGGGAGGCAGCAGUCGGGAAUUUUGGGCAAUGGGCGAAAGCCUGACCCAGCAACGCCGCGUGAAGGAUGAAGCUUUUCGGAGUGUAAACUUCAUAAGAAUGGGACGAAUAAGGAGGGGCUAAUACCCCCUUUGAUGACGGUACCAUUUGUAAGCUCCGGCUAACUCCGUGCCAGCAGCCGCGGUAAUACGGGGGGAGCAAGCGUUGUUCGGAUUUACUGGGCGUAAAGGGCGCGUAGGCGGCGUAACAAGUCACUUGUGAAAUCUCCGGGCUUAACCCGGAGCGGCCAAGUGAUACUGUUGUGCUAGAGUGCGGAAGGGGCUACUGGAAUUCUCGGUGUAGCGGUGAAAUGCGUAGAUAUCGAGAGGAACACCUGCGGC
Molecule: ribosomal RNA, 734 nt
Filed under: uncultured bacterium
Lineage: Bacteria
Description: bacterial SSU rRNA
Rfam family: Bacterial small subunit ribosomal RNA
Source: RNAcentral